RNAcentral lists this long non-coding RNA (444 nucleotides) under Pan troglodytes (chimpanzee). RNAcentral's name for it is "lincRNA". Lineage: Eukaryota; Metazoa; Chordata; Mammalia; Primates; Hominidae. The record is from RNAcentral.
GGUCUUCGGUUUUUCCUCCGGGAGUAGGGGUGGACUGAAGGCUUGGCCGCUCCGCCUCACUGAGCCGGUUCAGUCAGCGCAGGUGUUCCUGGAACGCCAGUCCCUUAGGAUGGGAGAGAGCGGAGAAGGCAAAGAGGAACAGACUGAAUGGGAAAGAGACUGGAUAGAUUCUAAUAUGGAUAAGGAUGCUACUGGCUUAGUUUCAAAAGUCUCUUCUGUCUAACAAAUGGAGCUCCCUGAUUCAACUGAGGACUGCAGUCAGAGGCCAGGCAUUGUCUUGGAAGGCCACACUGCAGAGGCCCUGGGUCAGAUGGUGCAAGUUCAGACUGUGGUGCUAGACACUGAAGUCCAGUUCAUUAUUUCUGUCUUUAAGCUACAUCCUGGUGGGAGGCAGGACACUGAAGUACUUAGAACCCCUCAGAAUGGCCAGAUCCUGUUCAUGCU